ACAAAAUCUUGUCAGGCUCUUGUUUUGAGUUUCUGGGUUACCUAGAAACUCUUUGGUCAAGCUCGGUCAACAGAUUUUGACCAUGAAUAUCUUACAUUCUAUACAUGAUCUGGUCCUUCUAUAAGUUCUAGAACAGAGAUCUCAUAGCAUACUACAAGAUCAAACCUUUUAAACAACAAAAACACAUAACAGACAAAGAGUUAUGAGGUCUGACAUUCAUUGUCAGACCACUUUUUCAACUUUUUCCAGAUUUGCAAAAUCAUCAAAUCUGAGCCUAUAGAUGUUAUGGACCUAACAUCUAUCAACCCAGAUCAUCAUUAUACACUAUAAACAACAUGAUUAAACAUUAAAACACAAGAUCUAACAUGGAAUCAAAUUUCAGAUUUAGUUUAGGGUUUAUACCUUUACUAUGAACAAAAAUUAAUUUUAUGCUUAUGAUAUGAUAUGGUUGAUAGUGGGGCUUAAUUUUGGGACUGAAAUGCCUUAUGAUUUCGUAGGUUUUGAAAGAGAGAGGAUUGGUGGAGAGCAAGUUGAACAAAUGGUGGAUUGGUGGAUUGGUGGAGAGAAUUCUGCACUUCUGUUGAUGAUUGAUCAGCUCCAACUUCAGUGUCCAAAUCACUCUCUGUUGGCUCCACUUUUUCUGGAUCUGGUACUACGUUUUCCACAAUAACCAC
Molecule: long non-coding RNA, 674 nt
Filed under: Panax ginseng (ginseng)
Lineage: Eukaryota; Viridiplantae; Streptophyta; Magnoliopsida; Apiales; Araliaceae
Description: long non-coding RNA (PGIN_LNC015734)
Source: RNAcentral